GACGAACGCUGGCGGCGUGCCUAAUACGUGCAAGUCGAGCGAAAGGACGAGAAGCUUGCUUCUUUGAUGUUUGCGGCGGACGGGAGAGUAACACGUGGAUACCCUACCUAUAAGUCUGGGAUAACUUCGGGAAACCGGAGCAAAUACCGGAUAAUAUUUUGCACCGCAUGGUUCAAUAGUGAAAGACGGCCUUGCUGUCAGUUGUGGAUGGAUUCGCGCUGCAUUAGCUAGUUGGUAGGGUAGUGGCUUACCAAGGCUACGAUGGGUAGCCGGCCUGAGAGGGUGACCGGCCACAUUGGGACUGAGAUACGGCCCAGACUCCUACGGGAGGCAGCAGUGGGGAAUAUUGCACAAUGGGCGGAAGCAUGAUGCAGCAACGCCGCGUGCGGGAUGAAGGCCUUCGGGUUGUAAACCGCUUUCGCCUGUGAAGAAGCGUGAGUGACGGUAAUGGGUAAAGAAGGACCGGCUAACUACGUG
This 477-nucleotide ribosomal RNA is filed under the name uncultured bacterium. RNAcentral describes it as "partial 16S ribosomal RNA". It matches the Rfam family "Bacterial small subunit ribosomal RNA", at positions 28 to 507 of the family's 1533-position model. The record is from RNAcentral.